RNAcentral lists this ribosomal RNA (383 nucleotides) under Zenithicola crassus. Its description in RNAcentral is "partial 12S ribosomal RNA". The record is from RNAcentral. Lineage: Eukaryota; Metazoa; Arthropoda; Insecta; Coleoptera; Cleridae.
UAAAAUUAAAAAAUUUGGCGGUAUUUUAGUCUUUUCAGAGGAACCUGUUCUAUAAUUGAUAGUCCACGAUUUAAUGUACUUAUUUUAUAAAUUUAUAUAUCGUCGUAGUUUGAAUGUUUUAUAAGAAUAUUUAAUGUUCAUAAUUUAAAAUAAUAGAUAAAAUCAGAUCAAGGUGUAGUUUAUAAAUAAGAAGAAAUGGGUUACAUUUAGUUUAUUAUUGAAUAAUUUAAUUUAAUUUAGAUUUGAAAUUGGAUUUGAAAGUAAAUUUAAAAAAUUUUUUAAGUUGGUUAAAGCUCUAAAAUAUGUACAUAUUGCCCGUCACUUUCGUUUUAAAAUGAGAUAAGUCGUAACAAAGUAGAUUUACUGGAAAGUGAAUCUAGAAG